UCAGGUGCUUUAUCGUUUAGAAUUUUAUGAACAAGAAUAAGUUUAUGAUAGGAAAUUCUAGAUUUGAAAUUCAACCACUUUAGCUCUUUAAAUAAAUUUAUACUAGGUGUUAGUAUUGGUGCAUCAAGUAUAAUCCUUGCAGCUCUUUUCUGCAUUUUAAGAAUUUUUUUAUAUCCAUCCUCAUAGCAAUUUCCCCAUAUUGAGCAAC
Molecule: long non-coding RNA, 208 nt
Filed under: Mytilus galloprovincialis (Mediterranean mussel)
Lineage: Eukaryota; Metazoa; Mollusca; Bivalvia; Mytilida; Mytilidae
Source: RNAcentral